Molecule: ribosomal RNA, 508 nt
Filed under: uncultured Sphingobacteriales bacterium
Lineage: Bacteria; Pseudomonadati; Bacteroidota; Sphingobacteriia; Sphingobacteriales
Description: bacterial SSU rRNA
Rfam family: Bacterial small subunit ribosomal RNA
Source: RNAcentral
GCCGACGCCCCGCUCAAGAAACCUACAAAGGUAAUUGGCCGGGGGCCCGCACAAGCGGAGGAGCAUGUGGUUUAAUUCGAUGAUACGCGAGGAACCUUACCUGGGCUCGAAACGUAAGAUGACUGUAGGUGAAAGCUUACAUCUCUUCGGAGCAUUUUACGAGGUGCUGCAUGGUUGUCGUCAGCUCGUGCCGUGAGGUGUCGGGUUAAGUCCCAUAACGAGCGCAACCCCUACCUUUAGUUGCCAUCAGGUAAUGCUGGGGACUCUAAAGGAACUGCCUACGCAAGUAGUGAGGAAGGCGGGGAUGACGUCAAGUCAUCAUGGCCCUUACGGCCUGGGCUACACACGUGCUACAAUGGUCGGUACAAAGGGUUGCCAAGCCGCGAGGUGGAGCUAAUCCCAUAAAACCGAUCGUAGUCCGGAUCGCAGUCUGCAACUCGACUGCGUGAAGUCGGAAUCGCUAGUAAUCGUGAAUCAGAAUGUCACGGUGAAUACGUUCCCGGGCCUU